Molecule: long non-coding RNA, 316 nt
Organism: Phyllostomus hastatus (greater spear-nosed bat)
Lineage: Eukaryota; Metazoa; Chordata; Mammalia; Chiroptera; Phyllostomidae
Exons: 3
Source: RefSeq, a predicted model, not a curated record
CCCUGGAGCCAUCGGCCGGCGAAAGAAAGUAUUCCGAGGACAAAAGAGGAGAUGCCAGAGAAAGCAAGGAGCAUCAUGCAUGCAGCACACCCUACAAAGGGAGGUGUAAGGGAAAUGGCGUUAUCCCCAUUUGGCAGCGGAGACGCUGGGACUCACAGAAGCUGAGUGACUUGAUCCUGGAUGCCGUGGGGCAAGAGUCAGAAACCAGUGCGGCAGCAGAAGCCAGCAGAUACCCAGAGAAGCCGUGGUGCAGACCCAUGAGUAAGCGGAAACUGGGGAAAGCAGCAGCUGGGAGACGGAGAAAAGAUAUUGGCCA